Non-coding RNA from Arachis ipaensis, 1155 nucleotides. Lineage: Eukaryota; Viridiplantae; Streptophyta; Magnoliopsida; Fabales; Fabaceae. The record is from RefSeq and is a predicted model, not a curated record.
UUCAGUCCCUCCCUCCUAUUCUCAGAAAUCUCCAUUCUCCUCCAUAGCACCUUCCUCCCUCCGUCGGUAGAGUCGUAGACCGUAGCGCGUCCCUCCCUCCUCCUCCAUCCGCGACGCCGUUCUCCUGCCCCGCCAUCCUUCUCGCGCAAUCCGCGGCAGUGGCGCGUUCCUCGUCGCCAAGUCGCGAGUCCCAACCGUGGCGCUCUUCUCCAUCAAAGAAGCAGCAGAAGUUCUAUCACUAUCAACAGGAAUGGAAGAAGAGAGCGAAUCGGUAAGAGUAAAGGACAUCAUUCUGAAGCGGAAGAUCGGAAAUGGGUCGUUCUCGGCGGUGUGGAGGGCGGAGCACAGAGGCACCGGCGAAGAGGUGGCAGUGAAACAGGUCUUCCUCUCCAAACUCAACCUUCGCCUUAAGUCAUUGUUCCACUGCGAGCUCAAUUUCUUGUCCUCCGUCAACCACCCCAACAUCGUUCGCCUCCUUGAUUUCUUCCAGUAUGAUGGGAUGUGCGUACUUGGUGAUGGAGUUCUGUGCUUGAGGGAACCUUGCAGUUAGAGCACCCCAUCAUGACUCAAAAUCUAAUGAACAAGAGAUCAACUCAACUCAAGAAUGGCAUAUACUGAACCUUACUUGAAUCAUAAGCUGUGCCCUCUUUCCAAGAUUCAGGUAUGUUUGUAGGUGCCUAAAACUAUGACGAUCAUUUUGGAAUUUCGACCAGCCCAAAUGGAAAGUUCCUUGUGUUUUUAUCUGCGAGAAGUACUGUGGAUUCAGGAGUGCACGAUGCUACAAACUCACUACAUAGAAUUGAUUGGCCAACCGAUGGAAAACUCACUACAAACUGCAUCAUGUUGAGUGUAUAAGGUUGAUAUGGUUGUUGUUAUUGAUGGGAGCAGAAUUUUGGGACUUGGAGAUUGGAGUUCAUGGAAAUGGCAAUCCAUUGGGAAGCUUGAUCUGUAUGUUGCAGCUGCUGGGAAAAAUCCUAAACGAGUUCACGCCCUGGGAUGAUUCCGUCGCCAUGAAUGGCAUUGUUGCUGGUCUAAAAGGAUUCAGAGAUGAUGAUGUGAAGCCAUUUUCUGCUGGUUUGAAUUCAGCUGAGACUCAGGCCAUGUAAAUGCAGUGCCAGUGAGGGAGAUCCAUCAAGCAGUGCUGCACAGGCAAGC